This 418-nucleotide small RNA is filed under the name Histoplasma capsulatum var. duboisii H88. RNAcentral describes it as "Histoplasma capsulatum H88 hypothetical RNA". Lineage: Eukaryota; Fungi; Ascomycota; Eurotiomycetes; Onygenales; Ajellomycetaceae. The record is from RNAcentral.
UUAUGGGCGCCGCUGGAUUCGGCUACUAUGGAGAGUAUCGAUGAUGAUAUCCCAGGGCAAUGGCAAUCUUUAGGACAGAAAGAUUUUGUUCUGACACCCGAAAUGUUUUUGUCAAUGGUGCAACAGAAUACUCCAUCUCCAAAUGGCCAGGAAGCCCCGAUAGAAAUCCCUUUGCUCUGGGGAAAUUUCGGACUUUAGUGGUGCCUGAUUACUCCAUCGAGGAAUGGAGUUAAUGAGGAGUUUUUUUACGCUGGAUAAUGUAUAGUAUAUACAUGUUGCAUAAUGAGAACCCAAUGGAAAGGAGGUGCUGGCAAUUAGCAUAACUAAUAGAAACAUAAAGGUUAAAUACCCAAUUCCUGCGCUCUGGGUUCCAAUAGCAAAGGGGUGGGUGUGGGUGGCCUUAAAGCAAUACACGUAU